AGUACUUCCUAUCUAGUAGCAACAGUCUGUUCCUGAACAGUUUUCAAGAAAAAUAUAUCACAACAAAGGCGUUAUUAUUCAGACUCUCUUACCUGAAUGAAGGAGGAAGUAUUGUUUUUUAAGGAAACAGAAGACAUGGAAAGAUAACCAGAACAAGAUGUUUUGAAAUUUCCCCUAGAAGAAAACCAAAAGAAGGGAAAUGAAAUAGUUACCAAAAAUACAAUUCAAGAUAAAAACCAAACAAAGCAAAACAAAAACCUUGUUUGUUUUCUAACGCAAAAGAGCAAGAAAGCCUACAAAUCCCUAGAUCUAAGUGAAGUGGCGAUGUCAUAUAUGAUAAGGCUCCGUGAAUUCCAUCCUCAACAUGGUCAUGGAAAACUUGUACUCCAACCUUUUGAAGUCUUGAAACAUACAUGAUCCCAUCGUCUCUCAGGACAUCAUGUUGACAGGAAUGAUACCAGAGGAACAGACCUGACAGAACUAAGAACUGCAACAGCUACUCCUCACCACAGAGCCAAGCAUGCUGUACCUGUUGUGUCACCGCUGCAGCCAGAGUUCCUCCAGAACUGUCUCCUGACACAGCAAUUCGGGUAGGAUCUACUCCAUACUUUGUUAGAAUUUUAUCCUGAAGAAAAAACUUGACGGCUGUGAUACCAUCUUCAAAUUGUGCAGGGAAGUGAUGUUGAGGCGCUAGCCUGUAGCUUUAACACAGACCAGGAAAGCACACAGAGCGUAAGUGUACAACAACCAACAACGUCUUAAACAUCUAACACAUGCACCAUGACACCAAGUCCUACAGUUCAGUUUUUAAAACUUGAUCUAGGGUUUUCUUCUAAGUAUUGACUAGAAUAAAAGUUAAUAUAAAAUUAUUUAAAACAUGUAAUUAAGA
Molecule: long non-coding RNA, 889 nt
Organism: Mus caroli (Ryukyu mouse)
Lineage: Eukaryota; Metazoa; Chordata; Mammalia; Rodentia; Muridae
Source: RefSeq, a predicted model, not a curated record